UACGGAGGGAGCUAGCGUUGUUCGGAAUUACUGGGCGUAAAGCGCACGUAGGCGGCUUUGUAAGUUAGAGGUGAAAGCCUGGGGCUCAACUCCAGAAUUGCCUUUAAGACUGCAUCGCUUGAAUCAUGGAGAGGCGAGUGGAAUUCCGAGUGUAGAGGUGAAAUUCGUAGAUAUUCGGAAGAACACCAGUGGCGAAGGCGGCUCGCUGGACAGUUCCUGACACUGAGGCACGAAGGCCAGGGGAGCAAACGGG
Molecule: ribosomal RNA, 253 nt
Filed under: uncultured bacterium
Lineage: Bacteria
Description: partial 16S ribosomal RNA
Rfam family: Bacterial small subunit ribosomal RNA
Source: RNAcentral